This is a non-coding RNA of Nicotiana tabacum (common tobacco), 559 nucleotides long. Lineage: Eukaryota; Viridiplantae; Streptophyta; Magnoliopsida; Solanales; Solanaceae. The record is from RefSeq and is a predicted model, not a curated record.
GUUUAGUACCAAGUUUUCCUUUGUGCUCUUCUUUACCCUCUUCAUAAAUUCCUCUUUCAGCUUUAUUGUGUUUUCCUCUGUUCAAAGCUUCAGAUCUUCUGCAAAAAGAUAUUCGGGGUUUUCGCUUGAUUAGCCUUUUCUUCCAUAAAGAUAAAAACAAACUAAGGACUAAUGACUUCUGACCAAAAGAACAAACAUGCCUGCUCAGCAAAGUCGGAAGCUGAGAUGAAACUUAGGCGACAUGAAGCGUAUAGAUUAAUAUCUGCCGGAAAAAAAAGAAGCAUUAUUACUACAACGACGAACAAAAAGACAAGAGUCAAAAAGAAGUAGUUUGUCGGACAAUGUUGGUUUCCACGGCACUAUUGAAGCUGCAUUUGAGUUUCAGCAACAAACUGUUCCUCUGGUGGGCUCUUGAGCAACAGGAUAACCGGAAUAAACUUGGAAGAACAGUUCCCAGUUUGAAGCUUGAGAUUUGAAAGGGUUGACCAAUAUUUGACUUAUUUGUAUAUGAUCUCGGAUUGGAAUCUUUAUGAUUUGGUUACCUCCGUUAGGUGAUUUG